RNAcentral lists this ribosomal RNA (782 nucleotides) under Enterococcus faecium. RNAcentral's name for it is "partial 23S ribosomal RNA". It matches the Rfam family "Bacterial large subunit ribosomal RNA", at positions 1428 to 2215 of the family's 2925-position model. The record is from RNAcentral. Lineage: Bacteria; Bacillati; Bacillota; Bacilli; Lactobacillales; Enterococcaceae.
GGUUGAUAUUCCUGUACCCGUUGUUUUUGUUUGAGCAAUGGAGGGACGCAGGAGGCUAAGGAAUGCAGACGAUCGGAAAUGUCUGUCCAAGCAGUAAGUCUGAAGAGGAGUCAAAUGCUUCUUUUCUUAAGGACAAGCUGUGAUGGGGAGGGAAAUAAUAGUACCGAAGUUCCUGAUGUCACACUGCCGAGAAAAGCUUCUAGUGAGAAAACAGCGGCCCGUACCGCAAACCGACACAGGUAGUCGAGGAGAGAAUCCUAAGGUGAGCGAGAGAACUCUCGUUAAGGAACUCGGCAAAAUGACCCCGUAACUUCGGGAGAAGGGGUGCUGAUCAUACGAUCAGCCGCAGUGAAUAGGCCCAAGCGACUGUUUAUCAAAAACACAGGUCUCUGCAAAAUCGUAAGAUGAAGUAUAGGGGCUGACGCCUGCCCGGUGCUGGAAGGUUAAGAGGAGUGCUUAGCGCAAGCGAAGGUACGAAUUGAAGCCCCAGUAAACGGCGGCCGUAACUAUAACGGUCCUAAGGUAGCGAAAUUCCUUGUCGGGUAAGUUCCGACCCGCACGAAAGGCGUAACGAUUUGGGCACUGUCUCAACGAGAGACUCGGUGAAAUUUUAGUACCUGUGAAGAUGCAGGUUACCCGCGACAGGACGGAAAGACCCCAUGGAGCUUUACUGUAGUUUGAUAUUGAGUGUCUGUACCGCAUGUACAGGAUAGGUAGGAGCCGUAGAAAUCGGAACGCUAGUUUCGAUGGAGGCGCUGGUGGGAUACUACCCCUGCGUUAUG